CACUACUGUUGCCUCUGUUUCUGACAGUCUCUGAAUAGCUACCUUAACAAGAUUUCCCCGCUCCUCACCAGUCAAUCCAUCUACAAAAAAAUAACCUAUAGGAACUUUCCAUGUUUUAUUCAGACAAACCGCCAUAAACACCAGAGCUUCUUUAGCAACUGGAGCAGAGUCAUCUUGUUCAGCAUCAGCUCUUAAAUCAACAUACCCUUCAUAUUUUGUUCCAUUCCAGGAAGCAUGCCUUUUUAUUGCCAUUUCAUCCAGCAUCAAUGCACAAACUACGGGUUUAUUUGAUGAUUGUACAUUUGAUUGAAUGGAUGAAAAAGCCAACUCUGUAAAUCCUGGUUCAGCAGGGAGUUUCGUGUGCCACUUUCUCACUUGACUAGGAUGAGAGCAUUAAUGAUGGCUUCCAUGGACUUCACCUUUAUUUCAAGACGUUGAGAUUUUCGUUGAUACCUUUUUCAUUUUUUUCUGCAUUACAUGUACUUUUUUUGCG
Molecule: non-coding RNA, 493 nt
Organism: Ciona intestinalis (vase tunicate)
Lineage: Eukaryota; Metazoa; Chordata; Ascidiacea; Phlebobranchia; Cionidae
Source: RefSeq, a predicted model, not a curated record